GACGAACGCUGGCGGCGUGCUUAACACAUGCAAGUCGAACGGAAAGGCCCUGCUUUUGUGGGGUGCUCGAGUGGCGAACGGGUGAGUAACACGUGAGUAACCUGCCCUUGACUUUGGGAUAACUUCAGGAAACUGGUGCUAAUACCGGAUAGGAGCUCCUGCUGCAUGGUGGGGGUUGGAAAGUUUCGGCUGUUGGGGAUGGACUCGCGGCUUAUCAGCUUGUUUGUGGGGUAGUGGCUUACCAAGGCUUUGACGGGUAGCCGGCCUGAGAGGGUGACCGGGCACAUUGGGACUGAGAGACGGCCCAGAAUCCUACGGGAGGCAGCAGUGGGGAAUAUUGCACAAUGGGCGGAAGCCUGAUGCAGCAACGCCGCGUGCGGGAUGACGGCCUUCGGGUUGUAAACCGCUUUCGCCUGUGACGAAGCGUGAGUGACGGUAAUGGGUAAAGAAGCACCGGCUAACUACGUG
Molecule: ribosomal RNA, 468 nt
Filed under: uncultured bacterium
Lineage: Bacteria
Description: partial 16S ribosomal RNA
Rfam family: Bacterial small subunit ribosomal RNA
Source: RNAcentral